GUGAGUAACGCGUAGGAACGUGUCUUGGGGUGGGGGAUACGCUGGGAAACUGGCGCUAAUACCGCAUGUCUGCUGCGGCAGAAAGCCUUCGGGUGCCUUGAGAGCGGCCUGCGUCCGAUUAGCUAGUUGGUGGGGUAAAGGCUUACCAAGGCGACGAUCGGUAGCUGGUCUGAGAGGACGAUCAGCCACACUGGGACUGAGACACGGCCCAGACUCCUACGGGAGUGCAGCAGUGGGGAAUAUUGGACAAUGGGCGGAAGCCUGAUCCAGCAAUUCCGCGUGGGUGAAGAAGGUCUUCGGAUUGUAAAGCCCUUUCGGCAGGGACGAUGAUGACGGUACCUGCAGAAGAAGCCCCGGCUAACUUCGUGCCAGCAGCCGCGGUAAUACGAAGGGGGCUAGCGUUGCUCGGAAUUACUGGGCGUAAAGGGCGCGUAGGCGGCGCAGUUAGUCAGGCGUGAAAUUCCUGUGCUCAAACUGGGGACUGCGCUUGAUACGGCUGUGCUAGAGGAUGGAAGAGGCUCGCGGAAUUCCCAG
This 534-nucleotide ribosomal RNA is filed under the name uncultured Belnapia sp. Its description in RNAcentral is "bacterial SSU rRNA". It matches the Rfam family "Bacterial small subunit ribosomal RNA", at positions 106 to 673 of the family's 1533-position model. Lineage: Bacteria; Pseudomonadati; Pseudomonadota; Alphaproteobacteria; Acetobacterales; Roseomonadaceae. The record is from RNAcentral.